GACGAACGCUGGCGGCGUGCCUAACACAUGCAAGUCGAACGGGGAGUUAUUUAUAACUCCUAGUGGCGAACGGGUGAGUAACGCGUAGACAACCUGCCUCUAAAUUGGGGACAACACCGCGAAAGUGGUGCUAAUACCGAAUGUGGUAACUUGGUCGCAUGACUAGGUUAAGAAAGAUGGCCUCUAUAUAUAAGCUAUCGAUUAGAGAUGGGUCUGCGUCUGAUUAGCUAGUUGGUGAGGUAAUGGCUCACCAAGGCGACGAUCAGUAGCCGGGCUGGGGGGAUGAACGGCCACCCUGGGACUGAGACACGGCCCAGACUCCUACGGGAGGCAGCAGUGGGGAAUCUUCCGCAAUGGACGAAAGUCUGACGGAGCAACGCCGCGUGAGUGAAGAGGGUCUUCGGAUUGUAAAGCUCUGUCGUUUGGGACGAACGUGGAUUGUGUGAAUAAUGCAGUCUAAUGACGGUACCAAAGGAGGAAGCCACGGCUAACUACGUGCCAGCCGCCGCCGUAA
Molecule: ribosomal RNA, 514 nt
Filed under: uncultured bacterium
Lineage: Bacteria
Description: partial 16S ribosomal RNA
Rfam family: Bacterial small subunit ribosomal RNA
Source: RNAcentral